This 380-nucleotide unclassified non-coding RNA is filed under the name uncultured bacterium. Its description in RNAcentral is "contains 16S-23S intergenic spacer region". The record is from RNAcentral.
UCCAGCUAAUCGCCGGCAGUCCCCAUAGAGUGCCCAGCAUAACCUGAUGGCAACUAAGGGUAAAGGUUGCGCUCGUUGCGGGACUUAACCCAACACUUCACAGCACGAGCUGACGACAGCCAUGCAGCACCUGUGUAAAGGUCCCUUGCGGGAAGAUCCACUUUCAUGGACUGUCCUAAACAUGUCAAGCCUGGGUAAGGUUCUUCGCGUAGCCUCGAAUUAAACCACAUGCUCCACCGCUUGUGCGGGUCCCCGUCAAUUUCUUUGAGUUUCAGUCUUGCGACCGUACUCCCCAGGUGGUGGAUUUAAUGAGAUAUCGUCGGCAGUGAAGGGAUCAACACCUCCACCACCUAAUCCACAUCGUUUAUGGCUAGGACUAC